Molecule: non-coding RNA, 2248 nt
Organism: Paramuricea clavata
Lineage: Eukaryota; Metazoa; Cnidaria; Anthozoa; Malacalcyonacea; Plexauridae
Source: the annotation of a GenBank genome assembly
UAACAAUAGGACAUUUUGAACAUUCCUAUUGGUUGACUUGAGAAAAAUACGAUACGCACGUGACCAUGAAAGACCACAUUUUUGCAUAAACCUGAACAACAUAGAUAAUGAGGUUUAUUGUGAUUUUAUUGUAAUGCUAACGAGUUUCCAAACCAUCUCCUCUAUUAACUAUGAUUUAACUCGCAGAAUCUAUAUAUAAGCUCAUACUCACUUAUACUAUACAACAUUUUUUGCAAUUUCGACCGAACGUUAAAUAUUAUCAAUGAUAAAUAAAUAUAAUGAUUAUAAUAUUUUUGAAGGAUGAAACGUAGAUCCACCAACAAUGAAUGGAUCCAAUUCAUUAUUGUGAUGCACGUCCAAGCGAUUAGCGCGUUUUAGGCAAGCAAUGAGCUUUCAUAUUAUAAACCAUUUUAACAGUCGUAAAUAAAUUGGUUAACAUUACCGAAAAACGACGUUUCAAAUAAUAUCUUAUUACAAAGGGCCAGAAUGUACUUAAAAGCUCGGAAAGCUUUAUUGUCUGAGGUUCAGUUUUCCAAUUUUAUAACUGUAGAUAACUAGUCUUAGCAAACACUGUAUGCAGGAGCGUAGGAAGAAUCAAAAGAUUGGGGGGGGGGGCACUAGGGGUAAUGAAAAGAGCACCUAAAAAAUAUUCCCCGGAAAUGUAGACCACGGGGGGGAGAAAAAUUUUCUCGUCAUACUAUACCGAAAUUGCACCGUUUUUGACCAUUUUUUUGAAACAUCGAAAUUUCCAAACAAAAAGGGCACCUUUGAUGUUGAUUUAGUAUUUACAGCAAAAUUAGCUUGUACAAAAAGGGCUCUUUUUAUCACAAAAAGGCAGUUUUGGUCCUUUGAAAAAUGUGUGUGGGGGAGAGGGAGCACGUGCCCCCUGUGCCCGGCAGGUUCCUACGCCUCUGACUGCAUGUGUUUAUUGUAAUAUAUUUCACUGCACAUUAUAAUAUUGAUAAUAAUUAUAUGACAACAUGCACACAUGUGAAACUCACAUAAUAUCUUCGCAAUAGGCAGCAAGCAAGCUUCAGCAAGCUUAUCAACUACAGGAUGAUAUGUGAAAACAAUGCAAUUUAAAAAUUGUCGACUAAACUGAAAAUUCAGCCAAAUGUUCGACAACUUUGUAAUUAUAGUAUAUGGGCAGAUUGGGUAUCUCUAUCACAAAAUUAUUGUGGGAACUGUAAAUUUCCAAAGUGCAGCAUAGCUUUUCUAUUACCAUUUUGGAAGUAGCUUGCGCACAACAGUAGUAGAUUUGAAACGCAAUGUGAAUCAAUAGUGUCUCAAUAAAUUAUAGAAGUUCUUUUAUCAAUCAAUUAUUUACAUUAAACUCAACUCGGAAUCUCUCAAAAUUGGACUUUUGUGCCACUUCUGCACGCAUAAUUUUUAAACUUUUUGUGAAGAGUAUAUAAGAAAUCAAUCAUCAUGCAUAAAAUCAGUUGUGGGUGUGAUAAAUUGUCCGCGAAAGGCCAGUAUGGCAAAAAAGCCCAAGCUUCGAGGUGCGCAUAGGACUUAAUGCACAUGCAUCAAAAUUAAUUAUCUGGUUAUUUAUAUUUAUUUAUUAAUAGUUCAAAUUUUGCGUUUAGUUUAGUGGUCACUCUACUACUGCGCCCAUUUCUCAUACAGCCUGUAGUGGUAAAAAUAUCGGGGGCAACAACAAGAGCAACAGCCAUGCCUACUAAUUAUUUUAUAAGUGUUUUCAGGAUGUUGCAUGUGGAGGUUAAUUCAUUAUAUGGCACACAUUGGCUUGUGGGACUUGUGCCAACGACCAUUUGUGACCGAAGAUAGAUAAAUUUGAAAGAUAAAUUAGCCAUGAUAUUGUGAGAAUCCUGAUCAGAUGAUACAUGAACUGUACUUAAAUGGUUACAUAAUUGUUGUAAUUAAUGCACAAUGUAAUGGACCAUAAAUAAAUAAAUAUUAAUUUAUAAAUUAAAAUAUUUAGUGUCAUCCACAUUAAUAGUGGAUGUCUGAAUGGAAUCUAAUUCAGAACAGUGAAGUGCAUUCUUGGAGAAAAUGGCGGAAGAGCAGUUUGUGUUUGUCGAAUAUGUAUAAUUAUAGGCUGCCGGUGUAGGAAUAAACACUGGAUCGAAGCUUCCAAAUUUGUCAUAAUUAAGGGAUCAAUAACUUCAAUAGAUCAUUUUGGAAAACAGAAACACCUCCUGCGCACAGGAAAUUAUUACGCCCUAUUGGUUGUCUUAGUAUACAUUCACUAUUAUCAGAAAUUUGCUACUGUCUCUCGCACUAU